This is a non-coding RNA of Paramuricea clavata, 323 nucleotides long. The record is from the annotation of a GenBank genome assembly. NCBI's taxonomy places the organism in Eukaryota, Metazoa, Cnidaria, Anthozoa, Malacalcyonacea, Plexauridae.
GACGUCGAUAUUCGACGUCAUAAACACGAUCAACUUUGGUGUUUAUGACGUCGACGUCAUAAACACGUUCAACUUUGGUGUUUAUGACCUCGAUAUUCGACGUCAUAAACCCAUUCAACAUUGGUGGGUAACUUUGGUUGGAAGAAAAUGAAAUUUUUUUUUUAAAUUCGUCAAUAUUCGACGUCAUAAACACGAUCAACUUUGGUGUUUAUGACGUCGAUAUUCGACGUCAUAAACACGAUCAACUUUGGUGUAUAUGACGUCGAUAUUCGACGUCAUAAACACGAUCACCUUUGGUGUUUAUGACGUCGAUAUUCGACGUC